GGUGUGGAUAAUAGGAAGGCCUACCAUGAGUGUGGGUGGCACCAUCCAAAAGCCUUGUAGCCUGGAUGGGAUAAAAGAGAGAGGCUUACUUCAUUGCUUGCUGCUUCCUACAUGCCCUGCCACUGACUGUUUCUCUUCAACCAUGCCAUAUUCCCUUGGAGCCAGCCAACUAUAGACUGAAACCUCUGCAAAUGGCUCUUAAAGGAUUGAGUGAUACCAACCUACACUGGAAAAGGUCAUCUACUUUCCUCAGUCCUUAGUCCACGGAUGCAAAUGCUAACCUCAUCCAGAAACACCCUCACAGAUGCACCCAGAAAUGAUGCUUUGUGUGGAAACCCCCUGCAACAGUCAAAGGGACGUAUCAAUUAACCACCACACCUCAACAUAAGAACAAUGAAUUCUUCCCAGGAGAUCCAGAGGGAGCAAGAAAAGGAAGACGACAUUUGGAGAACGAAGGAGACAUUGGCAAGGAAAAAGCAGAAGGUUAUUUUAGUGGCAAGUCCUCAGCAACAUGGAAGUCUGGGACAUUCUGAGAAAUAAACCGCUGCGGGGAGAGAGAAGGAAUGUGUACAUGUAUGCAUGUUUUCUUUGGAGGGUGAGGAAGAGGGGGAAGAAGAUGGGAGGAAUGAAAUCAUACAGAGGGUUACAAACAUUUAUUUCAGUUCUCAUCUGUUUCAAUUAUAUCAUACAAAAGUUUCUAUAUGCUGCCUAUUGUGAUGAUAAGUGGAAAUUUCUCCAUGAUAGAGUUGUUCCACUCAGCAUAGUAGCCUCUAGCCACUUAUGGCUGUUUUAUUUGGAUUUAAAUUAGCUUAAAUUAAAAUAAUUUAAAAGAUGCAUUCCUCAGUCACACUAGCCACAUUUCAAAAGCUCAAAGCCCACAUGUGUCUACUGGCUGUUGGACAGUACAGAUAUAAAACAUUUAGAUCAUCACAGAACAUUUUACUGGAUGCACAUAGUGGACCUCUACAACUCAGUUUUUUGCAGUAUCAUUUCUGUUCCAUGAUCCCAAAGAUCAUUGGCCAAGGAACUGAAUGAGAAAAUAUUGGGCCGUUCCUGGAAUAUAUGAGCACUUUUGCAAAAGUACCUCAGAUAUUUGCUUUGCAUCCUUUGCAUAAAAUCAAAGUCCUGCAUGUGGAGAGCUGUGAUAAUCCCUGCAUUUCAUUUGAAAACAAAUUUAAAGGCUAAGUGAGAGAGAUGAUUAUCAAAAGGUGAUGGAAUUGCACUGCUGGAUUCAAAUUUCGUCCUGUCACUCAGUAGAACACCUUAGCCUCUUGAUAGCUUAGUUAUUCCGCUUAUAAAAUGAAUAUAAUAAUAGCAUUUUCCAUAAAGCUGAUGUAAAGAUCAUACUAGGAAGAACAUGUAAAGAAUUCAAUUAGUACUUGGUGGACCAUAUACAUUUUAGCUAAUAUUAUUACUAAUCAGCUCUUUUUUUUUUUUUUUUUUUGCCAAAUAGGCACUACAGAACUCUGGGCUGGGCUGGCUUUCUAUUUCUGAAUGUACUCUCUUACAUGAUAGGCACUUAAUAUCUAUUGCUACUUGUUUUUGUUGUCAUCCUUGCCCUUCAGCGGGCAGUACCUCCAGAAGGUGAUUAGCACUAAUCUCACAAAGCUGGUGAAUCAGUUUGUGGAAUGCAUUUUUCAUGCAGAUAGAGGAUGCUGGCAUUUUAACCUCGUAAUUGCCUUAUUCCUUUUCAAACGUUUUAGCACACAGACUCCAGGAGGAAAAUUAAGAGGUCAUGAGCAGUUACUUUCUGGUGUCUCCUGAGAGUAGAUUGAUGCUGCCUUAUAUUAUCUACCUUUUGGGUCACAGAACACAUUUUACUUACAAGAGGAAUAUUUAUAUUAGCCUGUUCAGACUACUAUAACAAAAUACCAUGAACUGAAUGGCUUAUAUCCAACAUAAAUUUAUUUUUCACAGUUUGGAGGCUGGGACAUCUAAGGUCAAGGAGCCAGCAGACUCAGUGUCUGGUGAGGGCCCAGACUCUGGUUCACAGACAAAACCUCACUGUAUCCUCAUGCGGUGGCAUUGGCAAGCAAGCUCUUUGCAGUCUCAUGUGGGCACAAAUCCCACAUGAGGGCUGGAGCUCAAGUGUAGCUUGCUGAGCAUGUACAAGGCCCUGGGACCAAUCACUAGCAACACACACACACACACAUACACACAUGCAUGCACACGUCAGCACACGCAUAUAUAAAGCCCUGAGUUUGAUUCCUAGCAUCACAUACACACACUCAAAUAUAUAGUUAAGGUCUCAGUUCUUCCCAAAAUUCUCUCUAGAUUCAACACAUUCCCAGUAAAUAUAUAUCUGGACAAGCUUUUAUUGUAGAAAUUGACACAUUGAUUCUAAAAUUCAUAUAUGCAUGCAAAAGAUCUAGAACAGUCAAAACAGUUUUGAAAUAAAGAGCAAAAUCAGGGAACAAACACCACCAGAAAUGACAAUUUAUUAUCAAUCUGUGAUUAUCAAAAAAUCCCAAUUAAAAGUGGGAAAAAUGGGUACAAUAUUUGAACAAAUGUUUCCCUAAAGAUUAUCUAUGGAUAUCAAACAUGCAUGUGAUAUGAUGUCCAACAUCAUUAGUCAUAAGGAAAUGCAAAUCAAAACAUUGAGAUGCUACUAUAUCCCUAGUAAAAUGUCUACAAUUAAAACAAGAUUGAAUAUAUUAAGAGCUGAUGGUGAGGAUAUGGAAGAAAGGGAACAUUCAUACAUUGCUUGGGGAAUAUAAAAUGCUACACCCUUUGGAAAAUAGUUUGUGAAUUUCUUAAAAAAGUAAACACUUGCCAUAUAACCCAACCAUUCUGCCCAUAGGUAUCAACCUAAGAAAAAAGAAAGCUUACAUACACAGUCUUCUACGUGGUUUCUCAUAACCAUUCUAUUUGUAAUACUCAGAAACUGUUAAUUGCAUUAACAUUAGCAGAUGAAUGCAUAAACAAAUUGUGGCAUGUUGAAUAUAAUGAAAAAGCUAUUCAGCAAUAAAAAUAAAUAAAUCAUGAGUAUAUGCAACAAUGUGGGUGAAUCUUAAAAUAACUAUACUUAAAAAGAAGUCAGACCAAAGUAGGUCCUACUGUUUGAUUCCAUUCCUACAGAACUCUAGAAGAUAUAAAAUAAUCUCCAAUAAUCUGGUUGGGGGAGGGAAAUUAGUAAGGGAAGAAAAGGGAGAAAGAGGUUACAAAGAAGCAUGAGGAAAUUUUUUUUUUUGGUACCGGGGGUCGAACUCGGGUCCUUGCCUUUGUGAGGCAGGUGGCAGAACCAUUGAGCCAAACCCCUGGCCCUAAAUUUUUUUAACAUAAUGAGAAUGCUCACUGUCUUGAUUGUAGUGGUGGUUCCGUGGUCAUAUUUAUAUGUUAAAAUGUAUUAAAUUGAUCACUUAAAGUAUGUGCUAUUAAUUAUAUGCUAAUUAAACAUCAAUAAUAAACAUUUUAAGAGCU
Heterocephalus glaber (naked mole-rat) is the source of this 3420-nucleotide long non-coding RNA. NCBI's taxonomy places the organism in Eukaryota, Metazoa, Chordata, Mammalia, Rodentia, Bathyergidae. The record is from Ensembl.